This 499-nucleotide ribosomal RNA is filed under the name uncultured bacterium. RNAcentral's name for it is "bacterial SSU rRNA". It matches the Rfam family "Bacterial small subunit ribosomal RNA", at positions 21 to 518 of the family's 1533-position model. The record is from RNAcentral.
GGCUCAGGAUGAACGCUGGCGGCGUGCUUAACACAUGCAAGUCGAACGGAGUAUGACGCUGACGAGACUUCGGUCAAAUCUGUUAAUACUUAGUGGCGGACGGGUGAGUAACGCGUGGGUAACCUGCCGUAUGCAGGGGGACAACAGUUGGAAACGACUGCUAAUACCGCAUAAGCGCACGACAUCGCAUGAUGAAGUGUGAAAAGAUUUAUCGGCAUACGAUGGACCCGCGUUUGAUUAGAUAGUUGGUGAGGUAACGGCUCACCAAGUCGACGAUCAAUAGCCGGCCUGAGAGGGCAAUCGGCCACAUUGGGACUGAGACACGGCCCAAACUCCUACGGGAGGCAGCAGUGGGGAAUAUUGCACAAUGGGGGAAACCCUGAUGCAGCGAACCGCCGCGUGAGUGAAGAAGUAUUUCGGUAUGUAAAGCUCUAUCAGCAGGGAAGAUGAUGACGGUACCUGACUAAGAAGCCCCGGCUAACUACGUGCCAGCCGCUGC